AUUGAACGCUGGCGGCAUGCUUUACACAUGCAAGUCGAACGGUAACAGGCCUUCGGGUGCUGACGAGUGGCGUACGGGUGUGUAAUGCAUCGGAACGUACCCAGAGGUGGGGGAUAACGCAGCGAAAGCUGUGCUAAUACCGCAUGUGAUCUGAGGAUGAAAGCGGGGGACCGAGCAGCAAUGUUUGGCCUCGUGCCUUUGUAGCGGCCGAUGUCGGAUUAGCUAGUUGGUGGGGUAAAGGCCUACCAAGGCGACGAUCCGUAGCUGGUCUGAGAGGACGAGCAGCCACACUGGGACUGAGACACGGCCCAGACUCCUACGGGGGGCAGCAGUGGGGAAUUUUGGACAAUGGGCGCAAGCCUGAUCCAGCAAUGCCGCGUGCGGGAAGAAGGCCUUCGGGUUGUAAACCGCUUUUGGCAGGAACGAAACGGUGUCCGCUAAUACCGGGCGCUAAUGACGGUACCUGCAGAAUAAGCACCGGCUAACUACGUG
This 492-nucleotide ribosomal RNA is filed under the name uncultured bacterium. RNAcentral's name for it is "partial 16S ribosomal RNA". It matches the Rfam family "Bacterial small subunit ribosomal RNA", at positions 30 to 507 of the family's 1533-position model. The record is from RNAcentral.